This is a long non-coding RNA of Salvia splendens (bonfire salvia), 1474 nucleotides long. RefSeq lists it as uncharacterized. The transcript is spliced from 5 exons. The record is from RefSeq and is a predicted model, not a curated record. Lineage: Eukaryota; Viridiplantae; Streptophyta; Magnoliopsida; Lamiales; Lamiaceae.
GUUGGAGAUACAUGUCAGGGUUGGAAAAUAUCAAAAUACAUGAGUACUACUACUACAAUUAUGCUAUAUCUCCGUAUCCCUUCUUUCAACUUCAACCCAAAUUCAUUUAUUUAUACACUCACCAGUGUUUUCUUCAAUUGAUUCCAUCCAACAAAGGUAUACUCAUCUCAAUUUUGAAAUCUCUCACGUUUCGAUUCUACAUCGUAAUUUCAUGAUAUCACACAUUUAGGGGAAAAAUCCGAGAUUUUACUUCUUCCUACCAAUCAAAGGUAUAUAUUUAUGAAAUCUUCCCAUGUUUUGUUCCAUGCCAUAUUCAUUCACGCUAGUUUCAUCAUGACUAUGGGAAUAAAUUGAAACCCUCUCAUAUCACGACGGCAGCAGCAGCGACGGUGGAAAUUUGGAUGAAGAGAUCGUAGAACACUGUGACUUGGGCUAUGAAAGGUCGAAAAAGUUUGCAGUUUGAUGAAAUCUCAGGGAGUCCUUUUUUUUUGGAUCUUUGGCAGGUGAAGCUGCAGUUUUGUGCUGUCAAGAACGUGUUUGAUUCGACUAGGGAAGUGGGAGAAUGCUUUGGUUAGUUGUGUGGAUUUACUGACACAGAUGUUGAGACUGAUUGGACUCCUGACGACAUGCCUGAAAUUUAGACAUUUUUUCCCCGUCUGUUUGAAGCUGAGUUCAUUCGGAGUGACUGAAACGUAUGCACCACCGGGAGAGUCUACUUCUGCCUUGUAAACAGCCGCCCCUUCCCCAUAAUAUGCAACCGUUCUACGCACUGAUAUAUUCCCUUUCAGGUCCUACUAGACUCCAAUUGAAGUCAUAUGUGGAUGUUUUGGUGUUCCUGCAGUAUGUGGUCUCACCGGUGAGGUUCUUCAGCUGACCAGGGCUUGCACCGGUGCUGCACAGGAAAUCAAUGACAUCGCUGCUGUCAAAAUCCCAAACAAUCCGGGGUCGACCGCUACAGCCGGAUUGACAUGCUCGGAUCCAUAGUCAAAAGACUUGAUCGCUGCAGGGCUCCUUGAAGGAUGGACGGAUUUGACGAUAGCAGCAAGAGCAGAGACAUGGGGGCGGGACGUUGAAGUGCCCGAGAUUAUGUUGUAGUCGAUUGAUCUUCUAGCCGUGUUAGCAGUAGCCAAUGGAGACGAUGCUUCCACGACGUUCACGCCUGGCGCUGUUUUAUCCGGCUGAAAAUAAAAAAGGUGAAGGAUGCCUUGCAGACGAGAACAUUGCCAUCUCGGGCGCUGGUUUAGUCAGCUGAACUGUCACUGUCUGGGAUAUUCUAGCCACUGAUGUAUGAUGUUUAGAUGCACGAAGCUCGAACUUAUGGUUCGAAACCAUCUAGUGGAUCAACCAGUAUUAUCCUCAUACCACCAGCUUGUUUCACAUUAGCAGCCUUUUCGUUUCGCGAAUCAAGAAAUUUCUUCGAGCGCGCAGACAACAAUCUUCCCCUUAACCAGAGCCGGAUCUAGGGUGUAUGCUC